Molecule: small RNA, 316 nt
Filed under: Arabidopsis thaliana (thale cress)
Lineage: Eukaryota; Viridiplantae; Streptophyta; Magnoliopsida; Brassicales; Brassicaceae
Description: ATSL106780
Source: RNAcentral
UUUUUUUUUUGAAUACUAAGAGAUUUUGGGCCGAAUGCCAUAAUCAUAAUAAUCCUAAUGUAUUUUUUUUUCCUUACGCUCCAUCUAAUGUUACUUACUCUUGAUGAUUAGAAAUUUGCUAAAAAAAACGUUUCUAAACACAUACUAUGAUGUCAAAAUGAGUCAAUCCCACGCAUGAUUAAUUAAUUGGGGUUUACUUUAAUCCAGAUUUUUUUCUUUUUUUUUGGUGUAAAACUUUGAUUCAGAUUAUGCAAACCAAGUAGUAGUACUACUACAUGUAACUAUUUAGCCAUUUAUUCGUUUUAAAUUUUUUUUU